UCGAAUUCUGAGGGGGCGGGGGAGGGGCAAGAUGGCAGGGGAAGGGUCGAGACUGUCGCUGGCCUCACUGGGCAUGUGCACGUCCGUCCGCUUUUCUGUACACUUUCCUUACACACAACCCACACCUGUGCACCUAUUGUAGACCCCCUCGAAAGAGGGAUCUAUGUUUUCCAAUCACACCUAUCGUAUGUCCAUAGAAUGAAUUAUAAUUAUUA
This 215-nucleotide unclassified non-coding RNA is filed under the name uncultured Boletales. RNAcentral describes it as "sequence contains ITS1". The record is from RNAcentral. Lineage: Eukaryota; Fungi; Basidiomycota; Agaricomycetes; Boletales.